UGGUUUUUGUCAAAUUAACCGUGGGAAGAG
Molecule: non-coding RNA, 30 nt
Filed under: Rattus norvegicus (Norway rat)
Lineage: Eukaryota; Metazoa; Chordata; Mammalia; Rodentia; Muridae
Source: RNAcentral